This 253-nucleotide ribosomal RNA is filed under the name uncultured bacterium. Its description in RNAcentral is "partial 16S ribosomal RNA". It matches the Rfam family "Bacterial small subunit ribosomal RNA", at positions 524 to 776 of the family's 1533-position model. The record is from RNAcentral.
UACGGGGGGGGCAAGCGUUGUUCGGAAUUACUGGGCGUAAAGGGCUCGUAGGUGGCCAACUAAGUCAGACGUGAAAUCCCUCAGCUUAACUGGGGAACUGCGUCUGAUACUGGAUGGCUUGAGUAUGGGAGAGGAAUGCGGAAUUCCAGGUGUAGCGGUGAAAUGCGUAGAUAUCUGGAGGAACACCGGUGGCGAAGGCGGCAUCCUGGACCGGCAUUGACGCUGAGGCGCGAAAGCCAGGGGAGCAAGCGGG